GGGUUGUGAGGUUAAGCGACUAAGCGUACACGGUGGAUGCCCUGGCAGUCAGAGGCGAUGAAGGGCGUGCUAAUCUGCGAUAAGCGCCGGUAAGGUGAUAUGAACCGUUAUAACCGGCGAUACCCGAAUGGGGAAACCCAGUGUGAUUCGUCACACUAUCAUUACGUGAAUACAUAGCGUAAUGAAGCGAACCGGGGGAACUGAAACAUCUAAGUACCCCGAGGAAAAGAAAUCAACCGAGAUUCCCCCAGUAGCGGCGAGCGAACGGGGAGGAGCCCAGAGCCUGAAUCAGCAUGUGUGUUAGUGGAAGCGUCUGGAAAGGCGCGCGAUACAGGGUGACAGCCCCGUACACAAAAGCGCAUGUGUUGUGAGCUCGAUGAGUAGGGCGGGACACGUGGUAUCCUGUCUGAAUAUGGGGGGACCAUCCUCCAAGGCUAAAUACUCCUGACUGACCGAUAGUGAACCAGUACCGUGAGGGAAAGGCGAAAAGAACCCCGGCGAGGGGAGUGAAAAAGAACCUGAAACCGUGUACGUACAAGCAGUGGGAGCACCCUUUGGGGUGUGACUGCGUACCUUUUGUAUAAUGGGUCAGCGACUUAUAUUCUGUAGCAAGGUUAACCGAAUAGGGGAGCCGGAGGGAAACCGAGUCUUAA
Molecule: ribosomal RNA, 653 nt
Filed under: Salmonella enterica
Lineage: Bacteria; Pseudomonadati; Pseudomonadota; Gammaproteobacteria; Enterobacterales; Enterobacteriaceae
Also listed under: 1 other name
Description: partial 23S ribosomal RNA
Rfam family: Bacterial large subunit ribosomal RNA
Source: RNAcentral